AUUGAACGCUGGCGGCAUGCCUUACACAUGCAAGUCGAACGGCAGCGGACCUUCGGGUGCCGGCGAGUGGCGAACGGGUGAGUAAUAUAUCGGAACGUACCUUUCAGUGGGGGAUAACGUAGCGAAAGUUACGCUAAUACCGCAUAUUCUGUGAGCAGGAAAGCAGGGGAUCGCAAGACCUUGCGCUGAUUGAGCGGCCGAUAUCAGAUUAGCUAGUUGGUAAGGUAAAGGCUCACCAAGGCGACGAUCUGUAGCGGGUCUGAGAGGAUGAUCCGCCACACUGGAACUGAGACACGGUCCAGACUCCUACGGGAGGCAGCAGUGGGGAAUUUUGGACAAUGGGCGCAAGCCUGAUCCAGCCAUGCCGCGUGAGUGAAGAAGGCC
RNAcentral lists this ribosomal RNA (384 nucleotides) under uncultured bacterium. RNAcentral's name for it is "bacterial SSU rRNA". It matches the Rfam family "Bacterial small subunit ribosomal RNA", at positions 30 to 416 of the family's 1533-position model. The record is from RNAcentral.